AUGAACGCUGGCGGCGUGCCUAACACAUGCAAGUCGAGCGGGAAAGCCCGUAAGGGUGAGUACAGCGGCGGACGGGUGAGUAACACGUGAGAACCUACCCUUUAGUGAGGAAUACCUUCGAGAAAUUGAAGUUAAUACCGCAUGAGUCCCUUCGGGGAGAAAGAUGGCCUCUUUGCUAUCGCUAAGGGAUGGGCUUGCGAUCUAUCAGCUAGUUGGUGAGGUAAUGGCUCACCAAGGCUAUGACGGAUAGCCGACCUGAGAGGGUGUACGGCCUCAUUGGGACUGAGACACGGCCCAGACUCCUACGGGAGGCAGCAGUGAGGAAUAUUGCGCAAUGGGCGAAAGCCUGACGCAGCAACGCCGCGUGGAGGAUGAAGGUCUUCGGAUUGUAAACUUCUGUUAAACGGGACGAAAGACCCAUGUCUAAUACACAUGGGGGAUGACGGUACCGUUAGAGAAAGCACCGGCUAACUUCGU
RNAcentral lists this ribosomal RNA (477 nucleotides) under uncultured bacterium. RNAcentral describes it as "bacterial SSU rRNA". It matches the Rfam family "Bacterial small subunit ribosomal RNA", at positions 29 to 506 of the family's 1533-position model. The record is from RNAcentral.